RNAcentral lists this ribosomal RNA (403 nucleotides) under uncultured microorganism. RNAcentral describes it as "bacterial SSU rRNA". It matches the Rfam family "Archaeal small subunit ribosomal RNA", at positions 330 to 735 of the family's 1478-position model. The record is from RNAcentral.
GCGCACCAGGCGCGAAACCUUCGCAAUGCGGGAAACCGCGACGAGGGGACUCCCAGUGCCUACGCUCAGCGUAGGCUGUUCCCGAGCCUAGAAAGCUCGGGGAGUAAGGGCUGGGUAAGACGGGUGCCAGCCGCCGCGGUAAUACCCGCAGCCCGAGUGGUGGCCACUAUUAUUGGGCCUAAAGCGUCCGUAGCCGGCCCGGUAAAUGCCUGGGUAAAUCGUGAGGCCUAACCUCACGAAUUCCGGGUAGACUGCCGGGCUAGGGACCGGAGGAGGGAGAGGGUACUCCAGGGGUAGGGGUGAAAUCCUGUAAUCCCUGGAGGACCACCGGUGGCGAAGGCGCUCUCCUAGGACGGGUCCGACGGUGAGGGACGAAAGCCAGGGGAGCGAACCGGAUUAGAUA